GUUUGAAGGAAUCUCCGAGCCGGAGGACCUAAAGCGCAAGCCACGGUCAAAGGCCGAUGGGCGCCCCUGGAAACAGGGUCGCCUCCCGUGAUCGGAAAGGAGGUGUCCGAUUCCCGCU
This 118-nucleotide non-coding RNA is filed under the name Synergistales bacterium. RNAcentral's name for it is "MoCo sequence". It matches the Rfam family "Molybdenum/Tungsten riboswitch aptamer (Moco RNA motif)". The record is from RNAcentral. Lineage: Bacteria; Thermotogati; Synergistota; Synergistia; Synergistales.